GAUGAACGCUAGCUACAGGCUUAACACAUGCAAGUCGAGGGGAAACGACAUCGAAAGCUUGCUUUUGGUGGGCGUCGACCGGCGCACGGGUGAGUAACGCGUAUCCAACCUGCCCACCACUUGGGGAUAACCUUGCGAAAGUAAGACUAAUACCCAAUGAUAUCCCACGAAGGCAUCCGAAUGGGAUUAAAGAUUUAUCGGUGAUGGAUGGGGAUGCGUCUGAUUAGCUUGUUGCGGGGUAACGGCCCACCAAGGCUACGAUCAGUAGGGGUUCUGAGAGGAAGGUCCCCCCACAUUGGAACUGAGACACGGUCCAAAACUCCUACGGGAGGCAGCAGUGAGGAAUAUUGGUCAAUGGGCGAGAGCCUUGAACCAGCCAAGUAGCGUGCAGGAUGACGGCCCUAUGGGGUUGUAAACUGCUUUUAUAAGGGAAUAAAGUGAGUCUCGUGAGACUUUUUGCCAUGUACCUUAAUGAAUAAGG
RNAcentral lists this ribosomal RNA (481 nucleotides) under uncultured bacterium. Its description in RNAcentral is "bacterial SSU rRNA". It matches the Rfam family "Bacterial small subunit ribosomal RNA", at positions 28 to 491 of the family's 1533-position model. The record is from RNAcentral.